RNAcentral lists this ribosomal RNA (1133 nucleotides) under Klebsiella pneumoniae. Its description in RNAcentral is "bacterial SSU rRNA". It matches the Rfam family "Bacterial small subunit ribosomal RNA", at positions 1 to 1125 of the family's 1533-position model. Lineage: Bacteria; Pseudomonadati; Pseudomonadota; Gammaproteobacteria; Enterobacterales; Enterobacteriaceae. The record is from RNAcentral.
AAAUUGAAGAGUUUGAUCAUGGCUCAGAUUGAACGCUGGCGGCAGGCCUAACACAUGCAAGUCGAGCGGUAGCACAGAGAGCUUGCUCUCGGGUGACGAGCGGCGGACGGGUGAGUAAUGUCUGGGAAACUGCCUGAUGGAGGGGGAUAACUACUGGAAACGGUAGCUAAUACCGCAUAAUGUCGCAAGACCAAAGUGGGGGACCUUCGGGCCUCAUGCCAUCAGAUGUGCCCAGAUGGGAUUAGCUAGUAGGUGGGGUAAUGGCUCACCUAGGCGACGAUCCCUAGCUGGUCUGAGAGGAUGACCAGCCACACUGGAACUGAGACACGGUCCAGACUCCUACGGGAGGCAGCAGUGGGGAAUAUUGCACAAUGGGCGCAAGCCUGAUGCAGCCAUGCCGCGUGUGUGAAGAAGGCCUUCGGGUUGUAAAGCACUUUCAGCGGGGAGGAAGGCGGUGAGGUUAAUAACCUCACCGAUUGACGUUACCCGCAGAAGAAGCACCGGCUAACUCCGUGCCAGCAGCCGCGGUAAUACGGAGGGUGCAAGCGUUAAUCGGAAUUACUGGGCGUAAAGCGCACGCAGGCGGUCUGUCAAGUCGGAUGUGAAAUCCCCGGGCUUAACCUGGGAACUGCAUUCGAAACUGGCAGGCUAGAGUCUUGUAGAGGGGGGUAGAAUUCCAGGUGUAGCGGUGAAAUGCGUAGAGAUCUGGAGGAAUACCGGUGGCGAAGGCGGCCCCCUGGACAAAGACUGACGCUCAGGUGCGAAAGCGUGGGGAGCAAACAGGAUUAGAUACCCUGGUAGUCCACGCCGUAAACGAUGUCGAUUUGGAGGUUGUGCCCUUGAGGCGUGGCUUCCGGAGCUAACGCGUUAAAUCGACCGCCUGGGGAGUACGGCCGCAAGGUUAAAACUCAAAUGAAUUGACGGGGGCCCGCACAAGCGGUGGAGCAUGUGGUUUAAUUCGAUGCAACGCGAAGAACCUUACCUGGUCUUGACAUCCACAGAACUUUCCAGAGAUGGAUUGGUGCCUUCGGGAACUGUGAGACAGGUGCUGCAUGGCUGUCGUCAGCUCGUGUUGUGAAAUGUUGGGUUAAGUCCCGCAACGAGCGCAACCCUUAUCCUUUGUUGCCAGCGGU